Molecule: ribosomal RNA, 306 nt
Filed under: uncultured bacterium
Lineage: Bacteria
Description: bacterial SSU rRNA
Rfam family: Bacterial small subunit ribosomal RNA
Source: RNAcentral
GAUGAACGCUGGCGGCGUGCCUAAUACAUGCAAGUCGAACGCGAGCAGCAAUGCUCGAGUGGCGAACGGGUGAGUAAUACAUAAGUAACCUGCCCUAGACAGGGGGAUAACUGCUGGAAACGGCAGCUAAGACCGCAUAGGUAUGGACACUGCAUGGUGACCAUAUUAAAAGUGCCAAGGCACUGGUAGAGGAUGGACUUAUGGCGCAUUAGCUUGUUGGCGGGGUAACGGCCCACCAAGGCGACGAUCAGUAGCCGGCCUGAGAGGGUGAACGGGCCAACGAUUGGGACUGGAGACACGGCCCAA